Molecule: long non-coding RNA, 2615 nt
Organism: Sarcophilus harrisii (Tasmanian devil)
Lineage: Eukaryota; Metazoa; Chordata; Mammalia; Dasyuromorphia; Dasyuridae
Exons: 5
Source: RefSeq, a predicted model, not a curated record
GCUAGGGGUAAUACAAACAGGGAUGUUAUAUAUGUCUGUCCAAUCACAGACUUAUCUCCCAAACAGGCUGGAAUUGGGGAAAACCAUAGACAUGGUUAGAGUGAACAAACUGAUUAAGUGAAACAAAGCCAGAUGGGCAGAAAAUUCCUUGUUGGAUCUGGUGGUUGCCUCUUCAGGAGUUGCUAUUUGCUUUUAUUCCGGAAUAUGGCAUUUCCUAGGGUGGGGUAGCUUCAUUUUGUGGUUUGGGGUGGAGUGCAUCGUUUCAGAAGAUGUGACCUCCUUUAGGGUAGAUAUUUCUGUUCAAAUGGGAAGAGCUGCCCAGAUGGGCACUUCUGUGGGCUAAGUGGUGGUGGGCACUGCUCUCUCUGGGAGGCUGGCUGGUCACUACUCUGAGAGCAUGAAUGGAUGCUAUUGUGAGAGCUUUGGAGGAGGGUGGCAGGGAGAUGUGUAAUGUACCACAAGUGGUAGGGCAUCUUCUUUGACUUUAAACAACCAGUAAGAAACCAAAGACAACAUUUGGUACCUAAACAGUUUAAAAUGCAGUAGAAUCUUAAACCAUAUUGUGAUAGAAGCACCCCAAGGCUAUUGUGUUUGGAAUGUACCAUUUACAGGGAAAAUGGAGUACACUAUACUGUGCCUUGACCAGAUACACUUGGAGUACUGUAUUCAGUUGUGGCCAUCACAUUUUAUCAGUCCCUCUUGGCCUAAACAGGAACUUAUUAGGACUGUGGAGGAAUCCCUUGGGACUUAUGCAGAGAAGACACACUUAUCUGUCUCUUACAGACUCAGAGAGAACUGUGCCCAAGAAGAUGGCCUUUGUUGGGGGCUUUUAAUCCAGCUCCUGGGAUGGCAGAAACAAGAAGAAGUCCCAGUCAUCUUCCCACCAAGGGAGUUCCAUCUCUGGUUCCUGAAAUGACUUGUCAGAGUCACUCUUUAUAUAGAAAAUUAUAGUCUGGCAAUUAUCCAGUGACUGAUGAUAUCUGUCUUCCUCUCAAGGUGAUCGCCUGAUGGAGAAACCAAGGCCUAGUGAGAGAAUUGCUUUGUCUAAGGUCACACAUAGAAAUUCAGAACUGGAAAGGAUCUAAUAGGACAUCUACAACUUAGCCAACAAGCUUACAUCCAGCCUCUGUUUGAUGAUGUCCAAAAAGUGGGAUCCCAUAGGCAGCCCAUUGAGUUUUUUGGACAGUUCUCCAGCUGUUGGGAAGUUUUUUCUUCUAUCAAGUUUAAAUCAUCGUCUCUCCAGUUUUCACUAAUUGACUCCUAUUUCUGCCCUCUAGGGCUAAAACAGAAUAUGUCUACUCCCUCUUUUAUGUCACAGCCCUUUGAAUAUUUGAAGAUAGCUAUCAUGUUACACAGCAGCAGAACUGGAACAAGAAUCUAGAUUAGGAGGGACACAUAUAUUUGCAUGUGAUUUACUGGUAAUGAUUUCUUAUGGAGUUUAGCAUCUACGCUUAGGCAAUUUUUAAGUCAACAUAUAUUCACUUUUAGUCAUUGCCUAUUAGGUGAUCUCUUGUUUUUCUCAUUCCUUUUUAUUAACCGUAAGUAGACAAUUCCAAGUCUAUUAGCAUCUUUUGAGACAUAUCUCAUAGAUAUGUUUAUGCACCUGCUUGGUGUAGAGCUGAUUGCUGAAAAGACAAUCUCCAACCAAUUCAUGAGUUUUCCAGACCAUAACUCAUCUUAUACUUCCUUCUCCUUCAUUAUGGAUAUGUAAUACUUGAAAGUUCAAAAAGGACUUUUAUAUUUCCUCCUCUAUUUGAGCCCCAUAACAGUUAGUUCUGUGAGAUAAGGAGAUGGUAUUCAUUUUACAUGGGAGGAGAAACUAAAGUUUAGAGAAGUGACUUAUCUGAAGUCCCACAGAUCAAGACCUCAGCCUUGGGUAAGGGCAUUCCAGAACCAAGUCCAGAACUCUUCUCUCUCCAGUGUGAUGCUUCCAAGUCUCUUGAAUUCAGCAUCAGCUGUUAAUAUUGUCCCUACAAGAGUCAGCUCCAGGACUGAGCCACCAACACAAAUGCCUAUGACCUUGACCUAAAUCAUGCACAAAGAAAAAAAGAAAAAAAAUACCAAGGAAGGAAGCAACUUCCAGUUUUUAAAAAUUGAUUCCUCAAGUUGAUGUCUCACCUUGGAUCUUCUCUCUGUGUCUUGGGCUUGUUCACUUUGAAACCUCCAUCUCACCAACACUGAAGCACAGGACUGGCACGUAGUAAGACCAAGUCUUUGCCUUAGAAGACAGCCAUCUCCUUGAGGGUCACCCACUGCAACGCUUAGAUACUUCCUGCUUUCAGCAGUGGCAAGGAUGGGAUACAUUUGGUCAAUUCCACGUCCUCCAAUCAAGGCAGGGACUCCUUGGGUGAAUCACUCACAGGAAGGCAGCUGCCUCGGGGAGGCUUGCAAAAGAGGGAGGUUCUGAUAAUGAGGGUGAGUGUGGCAAGUCAUUUUCAGAAUUGCUGCUAGAUUAUGUUUUGUUCUGGAGAUAAUUGGGAUUGCAGAAAUGGGACUGACCCUACUUCCUCUGGGCAGGACUCCCCAGCCCUAUAAAGGGGCUCUUGCUGACACUACAGCCAUCCAUCUGCCAUCUGAUACCUCAUCUGUGUUGGAGCAUCUGAUUCACUGAGAUA